CAGUAGCCGCGGUAAUACGAAGGGUGCAAGCGUUAAUCGGAAUUACUGGGCGUAAAGCGUGCGUAGGCGGUUUGUUAAGUCUGCUGUGAAAUCCCCGGGCUCAACCUGGGAAUGGCAGUGGAUACUGGCAAGCUAGAGUGUGUCAGAGGAUGGUGGAAUUCCCGGUGUAGCGGUGAAAUGCGUAGAGAUCGGGAGGAACAUCAGUGGCGAAGGCGGCCAUCUGGGACAACACUGACGCUGAAGCACGAAAGCGUGGGGAGCAAACAGGAUUAGAUACCCGCGUAGUCCCUGUCUCUUAUAC
This 301-nucleotide ribosomal RNA is filed under the name uncultured bacterium. RNAcentral's name for it is "partial 16S ribosomal RNA". It matches the Rfam family "Bacterial small subunit ribosomal RNA", at positions 509 to 807 of the family's 1533-position model. The record is from RNAcentral.